GCCUUAGUGGUGUAAUGGUCAGCACACUCGACGCGUAUUCGAGAGGUCCGAGGUUCGAGUCCUGGCGAGGGCA
This 73-nucleotide transfer RNA is filed under the name Stegodyphus mimosarum. It matches the Rfam family "tRNA". From Rfam's summary of the family: Transfer RNA (tRNA) molecules are approximately 80 nucleotides in length. The record is from Rfam by way of RNAcentral. Lineage: Eukaryota; Metazoa; Arthropoda; Arachnida; Araneae; Eresidae.